UGGGGAAUAUUGCACAAUGGGCGCAAGCCUGAUGCAGCCAUGCCGCGUGUAUGAAGAAGGCCUUCGGGUUGUAAAGUACUUUCAGCGGGGAGGAAGGGAGUAAAGUUAAUACCUUUGCUCCUCGACGUUACCCGCAGAAGAAGCCCCGGCUAACUCCGUGCCAGCAGCCGCGGUAAUACGGAGGGUGCAAGCGUUAAUCGGAAUUACUGGGCGUAAAGCGCACGCAGGCGGUUUGUUAAGUCAGAUGUGAAAUCCCCGGGCUCAACCUGGGAACUGCAUCUGAUACUGGCAAGCUUGAGUCUCGUAGAGGGGGGUAGAAUUCCAGGUGUAGCGGUGAAAUGCGUAGAGAUCUGGAGAAAUACCGGUGGCGAAGGCGGCCCCCUGGACAAAGACUGGCGCUCAGGUGCGAAAGCGUGGGGAGCAAACAGG
Molecule: ribosomal RNA, 429 nt
Filed under: Chloroflexota bacterium
Lineage: Bacteria; Bacillati; Chloroflexota
Description: Chloroflexi bacterium partial 16S ribosomal RNA
Rfam family: Bacterial small subunit ribosomal RNA
Source: RNAcentral